UACGGGAGGCAGCAGUGGGGAAUAUUGCACAAUGGGCGCAGGCCUGAUGCAGCCAUGCCGCGUGUAUGAAGAAGGCCUUCGGGUUGUAAAGUACUUUCAGUCGUGAGGAAGGUGUUAAGGUUAAUAACCUUAGCAAUUGACGUUAGCGACAGAAGAAGCACCGGCUAACUCCGUGCCAGCAGCCGCGGUAAUACGGAGGGUGCGAGCGUUAAUCGGAAUUACUGGGCGUAAAGGGCACGCAGGCGGUUAAUUAAGUUGGAUGUGAAAUCCCCGGGCUUAACCUGGGAAUGGCAUUCAAGACUGGUUAGCUAGAGUCUUGUAGAGGGGGUAGAAUUCCGAUGUGUAGCGGUGAAAUGCGUAGAGAUGUGGAGGAAUACCGGUGGCGAAGGCGGCCCCUGGACAAGACUGACGCUCAUGUGCGAAAGCGUGGGGAGCAAACAGGAUUAGAUACC
Molecule: ribosomal RNA, 452 nt
Filed under: uncultured bacterium
Lineage: Bacteria
Description: bacterial SSU rRNA
Rfam family: Bacterial small subunit ribosomal RNA
Source: RNAcentral